RNAcentral lists this ribosomal RNA (198 nucleotides) under uncultured bacterium. RNAcentral's name for it is "partial 16S ribosomal RNA". It matches the Rfam family "Bacterial small subunit ribosomal RNA", at positions 328 to 539 of the family's 1533-position model. The record is from RNAcentral.
ACGCUCGACACCUACGGGGGCAGCAGUCGGGAAUAUUGCGCAAUGGAGGAAACUCUGACGCAGUGACGCCGCGUAUAGGAAGAAGGUUUUCGGAUUGUAAACUAUUGUCGUUAGGGAAGAUACAAGACAGUACCUAAGGAGGAAGCACCGGCUAACUAUGUACCAGCAGCCGCGGUAAUCUGAGCGGGCUGGCAAGGC